Molecule: non-coding RNA, 30 nt
Filed under: Bos taurus (domestic cattle)
Lineage: Eukaryota; Metazoa; Chordata; Mammalia; Artiodactyla; Bovidae
Also listed under: 2 other names
Source: RNAcentral
UAUAUUUUUUUUAAUGAUUUGGUCUCUAAG